This 253-nucleotide ribosomal RNA is filed under the name uncultured bacterium. Its description in RNAcentral is "partial 16S ribosomal RNA". It matches the Rfam family "Bacterial small subunit ribosomal RNA", at positions 524 to 776 of the family's 1533-position model. The record is from RNAcentral.
UACGGCGGGGGCUAGCGUUGUUCGGAAUUACUAGGCGUAAAGCGCGCGUAGGCGUACCUGCAAGUCGGGGGUGAAAGCCCGAGGCUCAACCUCGGAACUGCCUUCGAUACUGCGGGUCUCGAGUCCGGGAGAGGUGAGUGGAAUUCCUAGUGUAGAGGUGAAAUUCGUAGAUAUUAGGAAGAACACCAGUGGCGAAGGCGGCUCACUGGCCCGGUACUGACGCUGAGGCGCGAAAGCGUGGGGAGCAAACAGG